This 349-nucleotide ribosomal RNA is filed under the name uncultured bacterium. RNAcentral describes it as "partial 16S ribosomal RNA". It matches the Rfam family "Bacterial small subunit ribosomal RNA", at positions 338 to 704 of the family's 1533-position model. The record is from RNAcentral.
CCUACGGGAGGCAGCAGUGGGGAAUAUUGCACAAUGGGGGAAACCCUGAUGCAGCGACGCCGCGUGAGAGAUGAAGUAUUUCGGUAUGUAAAGCUCUAUCAGCAGGGAAGAAAAUGACGGUACCUGACUAAGAAGCCCCGGCUAACGACGUGCCAGCAGCCGCGGUAAUACGGAGGGGGCAAGCGUUAUCCGGAUUUACUGGGUGUACAGGGAGCGUAGACGGCGGGGCAAGCCAGAUGUGAAAGCCCGGGGCUCAACCCCGGGACUGCAUUUGGAACGGUGCUGCUAGAGUGUCGGAGCGGCCGGCGGACUUCCUCGUGUCGCGGUGCACUGCGUAGCUAUUAGGAGG